Long non-coding RNA from Bos taurus (domestic cattle), 1802 nucleotides. The record is from Ensembl. NCBI's taxonomy places the organism in Eukaryota, Metazoa, Chordata, Mammalia, Artiodactyla, Bovidae.
GUCUUGAGUGCUCCCAGUGACCAGCAGUGCAUGGGGUGGGGUGGGGCGGUCCCAGGAUUCAGAGUGCCGGGUGGUCUGCUAGCCCACUGCUAGCACGGGCUAUGGAUCCCCCUCAGGGGAGAGCUCAUCCUGAGGGAGGGAAGGGUAGAGGCAGGGCUUGGAGUGGCUGUCUGCAGGGGAGGUGGGCUUUGAGUACUUCUGGGGAAUCCCAGGAGGAAGGUCAACAGACACAAGGGAUGCGGUGAUUUCCCCAAGUGCUCUCUCAGCCUGGGAGGAGAGGCCUGCACGCAUCUGAGGCCCACGUGGCGAGGUCUUCUUGGAGAAGCCUUGGCAGCCACCCGCAGGUGCCCAGGGGACCGUUCUUGGGCUUUGGGGAGUGCUAGACAGAGGAUGCCUUCACAAGGGCUGGGAGAGAGACACUCUUGGGUGGGACAGGCACUUCAGGGCUGUCUUGGUAGGCCUGGAGACAGACCCAGGGACUCCCAGCAUUAGUUUCCUUGAAGCAGGCAUCUCGUGAGAGCAGCUGGAGGCAGAGAGGGUAGCACGGCUUGUCCUGUGACCCUGACACUACUUGGUGUGAGGCUCCUGUGCCUGGAAAGCGGGACUCACCAGGAUAAAGCCUGAGCUCCUCAGCAUGGUGCCCGAGGCUUGAUUGGGCCCCUGCCUUUCCCUCCCUCGAGCCGUCCUUAUCUGACCACUUACAGUCCCUGGCCUCUGCCUGAAUUUUCUCCUUCCCUGCCCUUCCUGCCUGGCGAUCACUUACACCAAUUCACCUGUUUUCGCUGGGCCCAGCAGAGUGCUUGGUAAAUGGCCAAAAAUGUGUAUGAAAAAAUGAACGAGUGGAAAGAGUAGGGGACUCACCUGGGACCCCCCAGUAUUCAAACCGUGACCCGUUUGGAGACCCAAGUCUCCAGCAUCAGUUGCGUGUGGUACUCAUGCCCUUCUCCUGAGUUUCUGCAAUCGCUGCUGGAGGGAUGGUGGCCACAAACACACAGCCCCAGGACGCCUGUGUCCAGCCAGCACUCACCUUGCCUGGGGCAGGCAGGCAGAAGGCAACCGGUACCCUCUCUCAGCCAGGGACCCUCUGCCGGUCACAGAGAUCUCAGCUCUGCCACUGGGCUGGGCCUCGCUGGUCACUCCUGGUUCUGUUUCCUGAGGAAUGAAAAUCCGACAAAGCCCAGAAAGCAUCACCAGCCAGUGUGAUGCCAGCCUCCUGCGGAGAGGCCACCAGCUGUGCUGUGCUGCACGUGGGAUCCUAGUUCCCCAACCUGGGAUGGAACCUGUGCCCCUGCAGUGGAAGUGUGUGUGUUACUUGCUCGGGCAGCUGGCACUCAUGGAGACUCCCUCUGGCAUUCAUUUCACAGUUUAGGCACUGGGUUGGCACAGCUGGUCAAAACAUUGCAAGAUCACCCUCGACUUUGGUCAGAGAGCUUGUGUGCGGCCACCACUCCUCUCCCUGAACUCUGGCAGACCUGAGGGCAAAAUGCUUUGGAGAGAGCACCCAACUCAGUGGAAACAGAUUUUGUGAUGCUCAGACUGACACAGAGGGUGGUGAUAAAACACAAACAAGUGUGGGGUAAAAAUCUAGAAGAAAGAACCCUACCCAGAGGGGUUAUUAUCAGGGCUGCUCUCACCUUGCACUCUUCGGGAAACCUCCUGGCAUUUCUAUGCCUUUUGCCCCGAUUCACAGACUCUUUCUGUCCUUCUCAUCAAGUGGUUCUGUGGGAGCAUCAUGGGUUUGGAGACAGACUGCCCUGGGUUCCCCUCCAGCUGUACCAAUAACAGAAGUUGGAGACCAAUAU